UCUCUGUUGAAUGUGACCUCAGUAUGAAAGCGAGCAAGGUGGUAGGGAUGAUAUUCUUAGAAGAGGAAGGGAAUAUAGUUGAUCUAGAAGUAGAAGCAAGGUGGUAGGGAUUAGAAGAGGAAGGGAAUAUAAUUGAUCUAGAAGUAGAAGUCCAGUGCAUCGAAGAAGUAGACCGAUUCCGGAUAAUGGACUGGAAAACAGUAAAGUUUAUGACAGAUAAGGGACCAUCGAGCAACACCAUGGGCGAUAUACCACUCGGUCACCAGUUAGCUGCUAAUUCAAAUGGUUGUUCACCAAUUCGUCGCUCACCUGUUUGUCGUGCCCUUUCCCCAUAGAAAAUUCAAACGUUGAUCGAUUCCCAGCUGGAUGCUCUCCCGUUUUCUGUUCAGCUUAUACUCGCUCAUUUAUUCCCAUUCCCAGCGUUUUUGUUUCAGGUUUUAGGAAGAAAAGCAUAAUCAGAAAAGUGAUGAGGAGGAAUAGAAGAAAAGGGGGAAAAUGUUUUUCAUUCACGGAUGUUGGACGGGUUAUGAUGUAUAACUCUGGCGGGUGUUGCGACAAAAUACUUUUUAUUUGGAUACUCGGAAGGUGGCUUAUCUUAUAUUUACCAGGUUGCUGAAUUUUUUUUAGACUUGAGUUCCAUUCUUAUGAGGGCUUGCCGUAAUGACACAAAUAUUGACAUCACGAAAGAUGUACCACUCCAUAGUUGUUGGAGGAUUCAAGUGAAAUUAAGGGAUUUAUUUUUCUUUGCCCACUUUACUUAACAAGCACUACGAGGGUGUUUGAUUUCUAUUUUAUUACUUUUAAUGUAACAGUUGGAUAACUUGCUUAAAACCCUGCGGUUUAUACAGAA
Long non-coding RNA from Papaver somniferum (opium poppy), 850 nucleotides. RefSeq lists it as uncharacterized. Lineage: Eukaryota; Viridiplantae; Streptophyta; Magnoliopsida; Ranunculales; Papaveraceae. The record is from RefSeq and is a predicted model, not a curated record. The transcript has 3 exons.